This 252-nucleotide ribosomal RNA is filed under the name uncultured bacterium. RNAcentral's name for it is "partial 16S ribosomal RNA". It matches the Rfam family "Bacterial small subunit ribosomal RNA", at positions 524 to 776 of the family's 1533-position model. The record is from RNAcentral.
UACAGAGGGGGCAAGCGUUGUUCGGAAUUACUGGGCGUAAAGGGCGCGUAGGCGGCCUGUUAAGUCGGACGUGAAAUCUCUCGGCUCAACCGGGGAACUGCGUCCGAUACUGACGGGCUUGAAUUCGGGAGAGGGAUGUGGAAUUCCAGGUGUAGCGGUGAAUGCGCAGAUAUCAGGAGGAACACCGGUGGCGAAGGCGGGUCUCUGGGCCGAUACUGACGCUGAGGAGCGAAAGCGUGGGGAGCGAACAGG